GAUGAAGAACGCAGCGAAAUGCGAUAAGUAAUGUGAAUUGCAGAAUUCAGUGAAUCAUCGAAUCUUUGAACGCACAUUGCGCCCGCCAGUAUUCUGGCGGGCAUGCCUGUUCGAGCGUCAUUACAACCCUCAGGCCCCCGGGCCUGGCGUUGGGGAUCGGCGGAAGCCCCCUGCGGGCACAACGCCGUCCCCCAAAUACAGUGGCGGUCCCGCCGCAGCUUCCAUUGCGUAGUAGCUAACACCUCGCAACUGGAGAGCGGCGCGGCCACGCCGUAAAACACCCAACUUCUGAAUGUUGACCUCGAAUCAGGUAGGAAUACCCGCAGAACUUAAGCAUAUCAAUAAGCGGAGGA
Molecule: unclassified non-coding RNA, 353 nt
Filed under: soil metagenome
Description: partial contains 5.8S ribosomal RNA, internal transcribed spacer 2, and large subunit ribosomal RNA
Rfam family: 5.8S ribosomal RNA (bases 1-120)
Source: RNAcentral